GAGGAGUCAAAGUCAGGUUCGUCACUUUACCACCUUCCUUGUAAAAGAGUGAAAUUAGGAGGAGCUUGAGAGAGAGUAGAGAGAGUAGAGAAAGAAGAGAC
Cucurbita maxima (winter squash) is the source of this 101-nucleotide long non-coding RNA. RefSeq lists it as uncharacterized. Lineage: Eukaryota; Viridiplantae; Streptophyta; Magnoliopsida; Cucurbitales; Cucurbitaceae. The transcript is spliced from 3 exons. The record is from RefSeq and is a predicted model, not a curated record.